GACGAACGCUGGCGGCGUGCUUAACACAUGCAAGUCGAACGGAAAGGCCCUGCUUUUGUGGGGUGCUCGAGUGGCGAACGGGUGAGUAACACGUGAGUAACCUGCCCUUGACUUUGGGAUAACUUCAGGAAACUGGGGCUAAUACCGGAUAGGAGCUCCUGCUGCAUGGUGGGGGUUGGAAAGUUUCGGCGGUUGGGGAUGGACUCGCGGCUUAUCAGCUUGUUGGUGGGGUAGUGGCUUACCAAGGCUUUGACGGGUAGCCGGCCUGAGAGGGUGACCGGCCACAUUGGGACUGAGAUACGGCACAGACUCCUACGGGAGGCAGCAGUGGGGAAUAUUGCACAAUGGGCGGAAGCCUGAUGCAGCAACGCCUCGUGCGGGAUGACGGCCUUCGGGUUGUAAACCGCUUUCGCCUGUGACGAAGCGUGAGUGACGGUAAUGGGUAAAGAAGCACCGGCUAACUACGUG
RNAcentral lists this ribosomal RNA (468 nucleotides) under uncultured bacterium. Its description in RNAcentral is "partial 16S ribosomal RNA". It matches the Rfam family "Bacterial small subunit ribosomal RNA", at positions 28 to 507 of the family's 1533-position model. The record is from RNAcentral.